AGGAUCCAUUCAUGCUCGCUCACCCCCUCUCGCCCCCCUAACCCACACUGCAGUUUGCUGGGGCUGGGUCCCCAUCAGGCCCGAGGAGGAAGGAGAGAAGGCACUCUGGUCCUUGGCAUGUCCUGCUUGCCUCUGUGAUGCCUGCCUUCAUACUCCGGCGGGCUGUUCAGAGGUGGAGGGACUUUGUCCACGGUCACUCGGCACUGGACGCAUGAUUCUAGAGGAAGUCUCAGUUCGUUCUUGCUGAAGGACACAGGGCCACUCUCCUUGUGAUGAAUGAGAGUAGCAACCCAGAGGAAGAGGCAAGCUCUCCUGUGAGCCGGCCCUGGCCUGGGCUCUGGGAAGACCACAAGAGGGGGAACAGCUGUGCCCAGAGGACUUGCAUGCCAACCCAGAGACAAAACAGGGAAGGUGUUUGCUCAGGAUGAACACAGGGACUGAGCACCUCGACUUAUGUGCAGCCUUGUGUCCAGUGGAGUGUGUGAGGGGAGGUAUUGGGGGGAGGGCCUUUGAUACCUGCUUACCCCACUCAUCUCUAUAGGAGCCGAGUCUAGACGCCAAGGCCCUCCUGGAGCUGCCUCUGGAGACAUUGGCCACGAAGCUUCAGAAUGAAGCGCUGAGUCUAGAGAGUGUCCGCUGUAGCUCUUUGGAGAAGGCUCUGCAGGUGCAUCAGGAGGGGAGUUGUCUGACGGACUUCCUGGAGGGAUGUGAGGAGCAGCUGCAAGAAUUGAAGAACCUCAACAAGUGAAGCGAGGCCCUGACGCCAGUGUCCCCAGGAACUAUAAGGACCCCUAUGACUGCCAGGUGAGCCCGAGGGUGUACGUUCACAUAGGUACGUGUGUGUACACAGACACAUUUGCCGGUGAGUCUGUGAACAUCUGAGCAUGUGACAUUGGACAAGUUAUGUGUCAGUUACGUAAUCUACUGUCAACGUGAGCGAAGGGAUGGAGUCUAGCCUGUCAAUCAAGUCAUAGCCAAUGAGGCU
Echinops telfairi (small Madagascar hedgehog) is the source of this 985-nucleotide long non-coding RNA. RefSeq lists it as uncharacterized. The record is from RefSeq and is a predicted model, not a curated record. NCBI's taxonomy places the organism in Eukaryota, Metazoa, Chordata, Mammalia, Afrosoricida, Tenrecidae. The transcript has 3 exons.